RNAcentral lists this ribosomal RNA (496 nucleotides) under uncultured bacterium. RNAcentral's name for it is "partial 16S ribosomal RNA". It matches the Rfam family "Bacterial small subunit ribosomal RNA", at positions 28 to 506 of the family's 1533-position model. The record is from RNAcentral.
GAUGAACGCUGGCGGCGUGCCUAAUACAUGCAAGUCGAGCGAACAGACGAGGAGCUUGCUCCUCUGACGUUAGCGGCGGACGGGUGAGUAACACGUGGAUAACCUACCUAUAAGACUGGGAUAACUUCGGGAAACCGGAGCUAAUACCGGAUAAUAUAUUGAACCGCAUGGUUCAAUAGUGAAAGACGGUUUUGCUGUCACUUAUAGAUGGAUCCGCGCCGCAUUAGCUAGUUGGUAAGGUAACGGCUUACCAAGGCAACGAUGCGUAGCCGACCUGAGAGGGUGAUCGGCCACACUGGAACUGAGACACGGUCCAGACUCCUACGGGAAGCAGCAGUAGGGAAUCUUCCGCAAUGGGCGAAAGCCUGACGGAGCAACGCCGCGUGAGUGAUGAAGGUCUUCGGAUCGUAAAACUCUGUUAUUAGGGAAGAACAAAUGUGUAAGUAACGAUGCACGUCUUGACGGUACCUAAUCAGAAAGCCACGGCUAACUACGU